CCUACGGGGGGCAGCAGUGAGGAAUAUUGGUCAAUGGACGCGAGUCUGAACCAGCCAAGUAGCGUGAAGGAUGACUGCCCUAUGGGUUGUAAACUUCUUUUAUAUGGGAAUAAAAUGUUCCACGUGUGGGAUUUUGUAUGUACCAUAUGUAUAAGGAUCGGCUAACUCCGUGCCAGCAGCCGCGGUAAUACGGAGGAUCCGAGCGUUAUCCGGAUUUAUUGGGUUUAAAGGGAGCGUAGGUGGAUUGUUAAGUCAGUUGUGAAAGUUUGCGGCUCAACCGUAAAAUUGCAGUUGAAACUGGCAGUCUUGAGUACAGUAGAGGUGGGCGGAAUUCGUGGUGUAGCGGUGAAAUGCUUAGAUAUCACGAAGAACUCCGAUUGCGAAGGCAGCUCGCUGGACUGCAACUGACACUGAGGCUCGAAAGUGUGGGUAUCAAACAGGAUUAGAUACCCUAGUAGUC
RNAcentral lists this ribosomal RNA (460 nucleotides) under uncultured bacterium. RNAcentral describes it as "partial 16S ribosomal RNA". It matches the Rfam family "Bacterial small subunit ribosomal RNA", at positions 338 to 795 of the family's 1533-position model. The record is from RNAcentral.